UGAUCAGUUAGAGGGCAACUCUCCUUUGGCAGAUGAUCCGAUUUUCACCGAAACCGAUGAAUAUCACCUCUUGAUCAGCUGCCAACAGGAGAGCUGCCCUUUUACUGGUUC
Molecule: microRNA precursor, 111 nt
Filed under: Daucus carota subsp. sativus
Lineage: Eukaryota; Viridiplantae; Streptophyta; Magnoliopsida; Apiales; Apiaceae
Description: sRNA DCAR_mi00007
Source: RNAcentral